Long non-coding RNA from Hevea brasiliensis (rubber tree), 488 nucleotides. RefSeq lists it as uncharacterized. The record is from RefSeq and is a predicted model, not a curated record. Lineage: Eukaryota; Viridiplantae; Streptophyta; Magnoliopsida; Malpighiales; Euphorbiaceae. The transcript is spliced from 2 exons.
UGCAUAAAUCCAAGCAAAAGCAAAGAUGUUCUUCACAAUUUGAUUAUGAGUUGAGAGUUGUCCUUAAAAUGUAUGCACUCAUAAUCCCUUCGCUUAGCCACAACUCAACCCAGCUAAACCUUAAUACCAAACUAGCUGGGGUCAGCUAGGAAAAAUAAUUUUGCUUGUCUUAUAUCUUUGAAUCUCUCAUUCAGUGAAAAGCUGAACUUUGUUUUAAAGAUGUUUGGGCCUUGGAGCAGGGAACACUUUUGCAUUGGUUGUCUCUUGCUCAUGACCCAAGCACAUUUAGGAGAGGACCUAUUUCCAAUUAUUGUAAGGUGUGGCCAGCAGGCCAGAACCGCCAGUUCUGGUCCCUGGAACCGAGGGCCUGAGACCAGACAGUAGGGUCCCUUGGUCCCGGUUCCAUUUUGGUUCAAUCCAGUCUGAACCAAUCCAACAGUUGUAAUAUUUUUUUCAAUUUUUUCAAAUAAUAAAUUCCUAGUUCCAGU